Molecule: RNA transcript, 1910 nt
Organism: Spinacia oleracea (spinach)
Lineage: Eukaryota; Viridiplantae; Streptophyta; Magnoliopsida; Caryophyllales; Amaranthaceae
Exons: 8
Source: RefSeq, a predicted model, not a curated record
GAAAAAAAAAUAGACUUAAAUUGCAGCGCGGCGUGGUUACUGGAGGCUGCGAGUAAGUUGAAUUCUCUCUCCCAUUUCAUACUCCCUCAAACCCUACCAUACCCCCCCUCUCCUCUCUCUCCUCUCUCUCUCUUCAUCAGAUCUAACAUUGCUAAGCCAUGGGAGAGUCGUCGAACUACCUUGUAUCGGAGCUCUGAUUCACUACCAAUUACCUCGAAUUUAAUUGUGUUUAUUAAUCUGACCUUGUAAACCUCUGCCUAAAGCCUAAAACCCAUCAAGUUCCUCCACCGCAGAAUUGCUCCAUCGAUGGGGAAAGGCGAAAUGGAGCAGCUGACCUUUGAAUUGAACCAUGAUUCUUCCAGUUUGUUGCUUCACCUACGGCAAGAUGAACACUGAGCAGUAUUUCUGCAUUUAUGUUGAUCCACAAGGGAAUUUGUCCAGGAUUCCUGUCAUACUUGAUCAGAUCGUGUUCCAGAAUUUGUUCUUUGUCCACGCAAUGAUUUGUCCCGAAGUUCAAUCAACCUAUGGAGUAUGUUGCAUUGGAGGGAAGAUCUUCUGGAUCAGUUUUGACUUAUAUUGGAGUAUGUCCAUUUAGUAGUAUUUCUUAUAUUGCCAAUCUUUAUGGUCGUUUGUUUAUGUUUUGGCAAGUGUUCAUGACAGUUCCUUUGAUUUUAUGGACUCUAACUUGUGUUGUGACAGCAAAUGGAUGAGCGAUUUUGACAUGACACCUCCUGCUUUUGCAAUGUUAACUUCAGCUGCAGGGACAUUUUCUGCCCCGGCUGAUGAUACCUUUUAGCUAUCUCUUUUAAUGUUUUUCCUCCGCGUCUCUUUAUUUCCCCUUCUCCCCCACGCCUCCCUGUUCUUUUCUUGUCCCCAAAGGUUGGUCUUCCUGUACCACAUUAUAUUUUGUUAAUCAAGUACCCGGUCUCAAUUCAGCAAAUCAUGUGUUAUUUAUACUAGAGUUUUCUCCAUGUUGAAUUUCUUAUUUUAUUUUUUUGUUAUUUACAUGGUGAAAUAAUUCUGAAACUGAUAGAUGUUUUUGGUUUGUUCUUUUGUUUUUUUUUUCUAUGUGUUAUUUUUUUUGAAUAAGAAGGCAAUGUUGGGUCUGAUCUAUUCUUAUUUAUGUAUUCUUUACUUGUUGAAUGUGUUCUUAUAGUGACUCUUGGCAUCAUAUAUUUUCACCACAGGGAUCAGGAAACCAGUACAAAGGCUUAGUAGAUUGUGUCAAGACUAUUGUUAGGGAAGAGGGGGGCCCUGCCCUUUUAAAGGUAUGGAGUGUAGGAAUCAAACCAGACCUCGCUUAACAUUAGCGUUCUUUACAAGUAGAGGUAUUCACAAACUUCCUGUUAAUUGUGAUGAUGCAUGCAACAUGUCCAUACGAAGAAUUCCAGAGUAGGAGAAUAUUGUGUUGUAACUUGGAACUUCUAAAAUUGGAACCUAUAAAGUUGGUCGCUGUUGUUAUUGACAUGACGAAAUUGAUGAGAUGCUUCUUGAAAACUACUAGUGGUAGUGCCAUUAAACAGUUUUCUAAAUUUUUAGAGAACAAUGAUGAUACUAGUGAUGGUGGAGGGGCUCCAGUUUUCACAUUUUUGUCCAUCUCUGCCCAUGGGCUCGGUACGAGGAGGAUGACACUCAUUCAAAGAGAGGUGUUCUCCUGCUGUAUAGAGCAAGGUGGGCAACGGAUAGGAGAAGGGUGAUUAUUUUUUAAUAUUUGUAUGAACUUAAUUACAAUUGAGGUGGGUUAUUGUUAGUUUGGCUUGUCAACUCAAAGUUUUGGUUGACAUUUUUUGUUUAUUGAUUUAGUCAGGUACUGAGUAUUGUUCAUCGUUCAUCUGAUUGUUUUAAUUAGGAUAGAAAUGUUGAUGUAAUAUGUAGAUUGAUUGAAUAUCAAUUGUUGGUUUGGCUUAGAA